This 430-nucleotide ribosomal RNA is filed under the name uncultured bacterium. RNAcentral describes it as "bacterial SSU rRNA". It matches the Rfam family "Bacterial small subunit ribosomal RNA", at positions 29 to 506 of the family's 1533-position model. The record is from RNAcentral.
AUGAACGCUGGCGGCGUGCCUAAGACAUGCAAGUCGAGUGGGUUUAGGCCCACGGCGAACGGGUGAGUAAUACCUAGGAACGUAUCUUUAGUUGGGCAUAUCCCGCCGAAAGGCGGAGCAAUUCCCAAUGUGACCGCAAGGUUAAAGUCGCAAGACGCUAAAGAAGCGGCCUGGGCACCAUCAGCUAGUUGGUAAGGUAAUGGCUUACCAAGGCUAUGACGGUUAGGGGCCCCGAGAGGGGAAACCUCCACACUGGAACUGCGACACGGUCCAGACUCCUACGGGAGGCAGCAGUUUGGAAUUUUGGACAAUGGGCGAAAGCCUGAUCCAGCGACGCCGCGUGGACGAUGAAGGCCUUCGGGUUGUAAAGUCCUUUUGUAAGGGAACAAUUUUUGAGCGUACCUUACGAAUAAGAGGUUGCUAACUCUGU